GACGUAGGGCGCGAGCGUUGUCCGGAUUUAUUGGGCGUAAAGAGCUCGUAGGCGGUGUGUCACGUCGGCCGUGAAAACCUGCAGCUUAACUGUGGGCGUGCGGUCGAUACGGGCAUCACUGGAGUUCGGCAGGGGAGACUGGAAUUCCUGGUGUAGCGGUGAAAUGCGCAGAUAUCAGGAGGACACCGGUGGCGAAGGCGGGUCUCUGGGCCGAUACUGACGCUGAGGAGCGAAAAGCCGUGGGGAGCAAACAGG
This 255-nucleotide ribosomal RNA is filed under the name uncultured bacterium. RNAcentral's name for it is "partial 16S ribosomal RNA". It matches the Rfam family "Bacterial small subunit ribosomal RNA", at positions 524 to 776 of the family's 1533-position model. The record is from RNAcentral.